This 437-nucleotide RNase P RNA is filed under the name Halopiger aswanensis. RNAcentral's name for it is "Archaeal RNase P". It matches the Rfam family "Archaeal RNase P". Rfam says of the family: Ribonuclease P (RNase P) is a ubiquitous endoribonuclease, found in archaea, bacteria and eukarya as well as chloroplasts and mitochondria. Its best characterised activity is the generation of mature 5'-ends of tRNAs by cleaving the 5'-leader elements of precursor-tRNAs. Lineage: Archaea; Methanobacteriati; Methanobacteriota; Halobacteria; Halobacteriales; Natrialbaceae. The record is from RNAcentral.
GGGAUGCAUCACGCGCGCGAGGAAAGUCCCCCCACCAGUUCGGGCAGGUGACCGGACGCAAGUCCGGAGCGGGAGACCGCUGGCUCUGGAACAGAAACGACACGUCUCGGCCCGACCGAUGAUGCGUGCGAACCCGACCGCGAGGAAGGGGAGCUAACCCGCAGAGGAAGGGCGAUUCUCGCACCCUCGGUGCGAGAACUGCCGACAGGCGAGCGGCGGAUGCCGCCCGCCGUGUGCGGUCGUUCGAACGCGGUUCGAACCCGCGAGUCGCGCUCGGCGCGACUGGCCGCACUGCGACGGCCGAGGAUCGAUGGAACGGCGAACCCUCACCGGUGCAAGUCCGUGCCGUGGUAGCCCGAACGCCCCGCGGCCUUCGGGUCGCGGACGGCGCGGACGCUCAGCCGAAUGCCGGGCCGAACAGAAGGGGGCUUACUCCU